Molecule: long non-coding RNA, 278 nt
Organism: Mizuhopecten yessoensis (Yesso scallop)
Lineage: Eukaryota; Metazoa; Mollusca; Bivalvia; Pectinida; Pectinidae
Exons: 2
Source: RefSeq, a predicted model, not a curated record
GAGUCCUCGGUUUGCAUCCUGACCUGGUCCAGUUGUAUUGCAUACUCAUUAGGUUAGUGUGAUAAUGAUCGGAAGUCCUGGGUUCGAAUCCUGACCUGGUCCAGUUGUAUUGCAUACUCAAUAGGUUAGUGUGAUAAUGAUCGGAAGUCCUGGGUUCGAAUCCUGACCUGGUCCAGUUGUAGUUUUAUACUCAGUAGGUUAGUGUGAUAAUGAUCGGAAGUCCUGGGUUCGAAUCCUGACCUGGUCCAGUUGUAGUUUUAUACUCAGUAGGUUAGUGU